Molecule: long non-coding RNA, 239 nt
Filed under: Nicotiana benthamiana
Lineage: Eukaryota; Viridiplantae; Streptophyta; Magnoliopsida; Solanales; Solanaceae
Description: long non-coding RNA (NBEN_LNC025676)
Source: RNAcentral
CUUGAGGUUGUUGAGUUUGAUUUUCAUUAGUUAUAUCAGGGUCCUGAUGGGGAAGAUUUUCGUGAUUGUCUUGAACCGGAGUUGUGUGAUCCAUUUCAGGAAUGUGACCAAGAUCAACAACUUGAGGGAAAGACACAUGUUCUUCCUCAGAGACAAAAUCUCUAACAACUUUAUCUCCCCACCCCCCAAACUCAAUAUCCUCAAAAAACCUAGCAUUACCCGUCUCAAAAAUAGUUCUA